This 164-nucleotide unclassified non-coding RNA is filed under the name fungal sp. RNAcentral's name for it is "partial internal transcribed spacer region". The stretch from base 1 to 46 matches the Rfam family "Eukaryotic small subunit ribosomal RNA", at positions 1786 to 1831 of the family's 1831-position model. Lineage: Eukaryota; Fungi. The record is from RNAcentral.
AAGUCGUAACAAGGUUUCCGUAGGUGAACCUGCGGAAGGAUCAUUAUUGAGAUACUUUCACACUGUGAACAAGUUACUUGUUUGGCCGAAAGGCCACUUUUACUACAUUUUAUAUUGAAUCAAAACGAAAAUCAAAACUUUCAACAACGGAUCUCUUGGUUCUC